AUACGGGGGGUGCAAGCGUUAAUCGGAAUUACUGGGCGUAAAGCGCGCGUAGGCGGCUUGAUAAGUUGGAUGUGAAAGCCCCGGGCUCAACCUGGGAACUGCAUUCAAAACUGUCUGGCUAGAGUAUGGUAGAGGGAAGUGGAAUUCCGGUGUAGCGGUGAAAUGCGUAGAUAUCGGAAGGAACACCAGUGGCGAAGGCGACUUCCUGGGCCAAUACUGACGCUGAGGUGCGAAAGCGUGGGGAGCAAACAGGAUUAGAAACCCCGGUAGUCC
This 273-nucleotide ribosomal RNA is filed under the name uncultured bacterium. Its description in RNAcentral is "partial 16S ribosomal RNA". It matches the Rfam family "Bacterial small subunit ribosomal RNA", at positions 523 to 796 of the family's 1533-position model. The record is from RNAcentral.